CGCGUGGUGUGCGCGGUCCCCGUGCAGCCCGCCCUGCCGCAGGCUGCCCUCCACCCCCAGCCCCAGCUCCAGCCCCCAGCCCGUCCCCACUGCUCAUAUCCGAGCAGAUAGACCCCGGCCCCACCCUCCCGUGCUGAGCCUCCUUUCUGCCGGGAAGUUCGUCCGGGAGUCAAACAUCGCUGCCCUCCGGUUGCGCCACGGAGGGGGAGCCAGGAUAGGAAGCUGCCGUGAAAUCAGGAAGCUGAGCGCGCCGGGCCCCGGAUCCGAACAGAAAAGGCUUCCACCCGCUCCCCUGAGGGAUCCCACGCUGAGGGACUGAACCCCGCACCCCAGCCGCGCUCACCACCCCCACCCUCUCGCCUGGGCUGCUCUGACCUGGGGGAGGACGGGAGAGAGAUAUGAAGCAUGAGAAAGAGCAGGAAGGCUGGUUUGAAGCUGGAGGGGACCACAUAAGAAGGAAUGCAGGCAGCCUUGAGGUGAGAGAGGGGCCUCCAGCUGAGAGCCAGCAAAGAACUGAAUUCCGCCAACAACCUGAAUGAACUUAGAAGCAGAUUCUUCCCCAGAGCCUCCAUGAAGGAAUGUUGUCCUGCCAACCCUUAUUUCAGCCUUUAAGAC
Molecule: long non-coding RNA, 615 nt
Filed under: Homo sapiens (human)
Lineage: Eukaryota; Metazoa; Chordata; Mammalia; Primates; Hominidae
Description: HSALNT0311453
Source: RNAcentral